AUUGAACGCUGGCGGCAGGCCUAACACAUGCAAGUCGAGCGGAUGAAGGGAGCUUGCUCCUGGAUUCAGCGGCGGACGGGUGAGUAAUGCCUAGGAAUCUGCCUGGUAGUGGGGGAUAACGUCCGGAAACGGGCGCUAAUACCGCAUACGUCCUGAGGGAGAAAGUGGGGGAUCUUCGGACCUCACGCUAUCAGAUGAGCCUAGGUCGGAUUAGCUAGUUGGUGGGGUAAAGGCCUACCAAGGCGACGAUCCGUAACUGGUCUGAGAGGAUGAUCAGUCACACUGGAACUGAGACACGGUCCAGACUCCUACAGGAGGCAGCAGUGGGGAAUAUUGGACAAUGGGCGAAAGCCUGAUCCAGCCAUGCCGCGUGUGUGAAGAAGGUCUUCGGAUUGUAAAGCACUUUAAGUUGGGAGGAAGGGAAGUAAGUUAAUACCUUGCUGUUUUGACGUUACCAACAGAAUAAGCACCGGCUAACUUCGUG
RNAcentral lists this ribosomal RNA (484 nucleotides) under uncultured bacterium. RNAcentral's name for it is "partial 16S ribosomal RNA". It matches the Rfam family "Bacterial small subunit ribosomal RNA", at positions 30 to 507 of the family's 1533-position model. The record is from RNAcentral.